RNAcentral lists this ribosomal RNA (253 nucleotides) under uncultured bacterium. Its description in RNAcentral is "partial 16S ribosomal RNA". It matches the Rfam family "Bacterial small subunit ribosomal RNA", at positions 524 to 776 of the family's 1533-position model. The record is from RNAcentral.
UACGAAGGGGGCUAGCGUUGCUCGGAAUCACUGGGCGUAAAGGGCGCGUAGGCGGCCGAUCAAGUCAGAUGUGAAAGUCCUGGGCUUAACCUGGGGACUGCAUUUGAUACUGAUUGGCUUGAAUUCGGGGGAGGAUAGCGGAAUUCCCAGUGUAGAGGUGAAAUUCGUAGAUAUUGGGAAGAACACCGGUGGCGAAGGCGGCUAUCUGGACCGACAUUGACGCUGAUGCGCGAAAGCGUGGGGAGCAAACAGG